This 429-nucleotide ribosomal RNA is filed under the name Gemmatimonadota bacterium. RNAcentral describes it as "Gemmatimonadetes bacterium partial 16S ribosomal RNA". It matches the Rfam family "Bacterial small subunit ribosomal RNA", at positions 355 to 776 of the family's 1533-position model. The record is from RNAcentral. Lineage: Bacteria; Pseudomonadati; Gemmatimonadota.
UAGGGAAUCUUCGGCAAUGGACGAAAGUCUGACCGAGCAACGCCGCGUGAGUGAAGAAGGUUUUCGGAUCGUAAAACUCUGUUGUUAGAGAAGAACAAGGACGUUAGUAACUGAACGUCCCCUGACGGUAUCUAACCAGAAAGCCACGGCUAACUACGUGCCAGCAGCCGCGGUAAUACGUAGGUGGCAAGCGUUGUCCGGAUUUAUUGGGCGUAAAGCGAGCGCAGGCGGUUUCUUAAGUCUGAUGUGAAAGCCCCCGGCUCAACCGGGGAAGGUCAUUGGAAACUGGGAGCCGUGAGUGCAGAAGAGGAGAGUGGAAUUCCAUGUGUAGCGGUGAAAUGCGUAGAUAUAUGGAGGAACACCAGUGGCGAAGGCGGCUCUCUGGUCUGUAACUGACGCUGAGGCUCGAAAGCGUGGGGAGCAAACAGG